CAUCAGCAAACAUGCAUAAUUUAGGUUCUAUACUUUUACCCCCCUCACCAGGUAUUUGAAUCCCUUCAAUCUCCUUGUUACCUCGUAUUGCACAUGCCAUUGGUUCUGCUUGCAAAAUAUAUAUAAGGGGUGGUAUUGGACAGCCCUGUCUGGCCGACCGUGUUAUCGAAAAAUAUUUUGAAACAUGUCCAUUUGUUUUUAUACAAGUAAUAGCAUCAUAGAGUAACAUUUUGAUCCAUUGUCUAAAUUUCCCCCCAAAAUUAAACUUUUCUAAUACAAAAUCCACCCAUUCCCAUUCAACUCUA
RNAcentral lists this long non-coding RNA (305 nucleotides) under Mytilus galloprovincialis (Mediterranean mussel). The record is from RNAcentral. Lineage: Eukaryota; Metazoa; Mollusca; Bivalvia; Mytilida; Mytilidae.